GCCGAAGUGGUGAAACUGGUAGACGCGCACGGUUCAGGGCCGUGUGGGCGCAAGCCCGUGUGGGUUCGACUCCCACCUUCGGCACCA
Molecule: transfer RNA, 87 nt
Filed under: Candidatus Latescibacterota bacterium
Lineage: Bacteria; Pseudomonadati; Candidatus Latescibacterota
Description: tRNA-Leu
Rfam family: tRNA
About the family: Transfer RNA (tRNA) molecules are approximately 80 nucleotides in length. Their secondary structure includes four short double-helical elements and three loops (D, anti-codon, and T loops).
Source: RNAcentral